AGAGUUUGAUCAUGGCUCAGGAUGAACGCUGGCGGCGUGCUUAACACAUGCAAGUCGAGCGAGAAGGUUAUGACUGAUUCUUCGGAUGAGGGAUUAACUGGAAAGCGGCGGACGGGUGAGUAACGCGUGGGUAACCUGCCUUGUACAGAGGGAUAGCCACUGGAAACGGUGAUUAAUACCUCAUAAAGCUACAUCAUCGCAUGAUGGAGUAGUCAAAACUCAGGUGGUACAAGAUGGACCCGCGUCUGAUUAGCUAGUUGGUGGGGUAGCGGCCUACCAAGGCGACGAUCAGUAGCCGACCUGAGAGGGUGAUCGGCCACACUGGAACUGAGACACGGUCCAGACUCCUACGGGAGGCAGCAGUGGGGAAUAUUGCACAAUGGGCGAAAGCCUGAUGCAGCAACGCCGCGUGAGCGAAGAAGGCCUUCGGGUCGUAAAGCUCUGUCCUAAGGGAAGAAUAAUGACGGUACCUUAGGAGGAAGCCCCGGCUAACUACGUGCCAGCAGCCGCGGUAAUACGUAGGGGGCAAGCGUUAUCCGGAAUCACUGGGCGUAAAGGGUGCGUAGGCGGCCAAAUAAGCCAGGGGUGAAAGGCUACGGCUCAACCGUAGUAAGCCUUUGGAACUGUAUGGCUUGAGUGCAGGAGAGGAGAGUGGAAUUCCUAGUGUAGCGGUGAAAUGCGUAGAUAUUAGGAGGAACACCAGUGGCGAAGGCGACUCUCUGGACUGCAACUGACGCUGAGGCACGAAAGCGUGGGGAGCGAACAGGAUUAGAUACCCUGGUAGUCCACGCCGUAAACGAUGAGUGCUAGGUGUCGGGGGUUCACACCCUCGGUGCCGGAGUUAACGCAUUAAGCACUCCGCCUGGGGAGUACGGUCGCAAGACUGAAACUCAAA
RNAcentral lists this ribosomal RNA (895 nucleotides) under uncultured Bacillota bacterium. RNAcentral's name for it is "bacterial SSU rRNA". It matches the Rfam family "Bacterial small subunit ribosomal RNA", at positions 8 to 905 of the family's 1533-position model. Lineage: Bacteria; Bacillati; Bacillota. The record is from RNAcentral.